This 23-nucleotide unclassified non-coding RNA is filed under the name Mus musculus (house mouse). RNAcentral describes it as "oocyte_clustered_small_RNA6915". The record is from RNAcentral. Lineage: Eukaryota; Metazoa; Chordata; Mammalia; Rodentia; Muridae.
UCGUUGAUGGAGGAUCUGUGAUG